Non-coding RNA from Camellia sinensis, 1270 nucleotides. The record is from RefSeq and is a predicted model, not a curated record. NCBI's taxonomy places the organism in Eukaryota, Viridiplantae, Streptophyta, Magnoliopsida, Ericales, Theaceae.
GAGCUCUCUUCAGAGACGACUCCGAAGCUUCUCUUCGCCUUCUUCAGACACGACUCCGGAGCUUUCUUCGGACACGACUUCGAAGCUGUUCUUCGCCCUCGAAGACUAUCCCGCGAACAUAACGUGCCCUCGAUUUCGCCUCAAGGUUACUUGACAAUAAUAAUUUAUCAGGGCAUCUUCCGUGAGAGCUCGCCAAUCUGCCUAGUCUACUGAUACUUCAACUGGACAACAACCACUUUGAUGGGGCUACAAUACCAGAUUCUUAUGGCAACAUGUCUCCAUUGUUGAAGUUGAGUCUUAGGAACUGUUGCUUGCAAGGACAAAUCCCUGACCUGAGCAGGAUACCACACCUUGCUUAUAUACAUGCAGGAGCUCAAAGGUUUUGCUAAAAGUCAAGGUGCUGUGUAGAAUCUAAAGAAUUGACCCACUGGGACAUUAAUUUCUGGAGUGAGAGACUUCGAGAGUCAAGUUAUAACUUAAAUGAGAAAUGUUCAAUUUCUAAUUCCUAGCAAUCCAUUAGAGCUGCUUUCAACUUGGGGGGAGCAUGAUACAAUUGUUUUUCUGAAGAAAAAGUUGGAGAUUGUGCCCCCUUGGCAUGUUCUCUAAUAAAAUUUUCUUUCAUUGUUAUAAAAAAAAAAUGUGAAACUUUUAAAGAUGAUUUAGCAGGGUAUAUAUGUUUAUUCAAAUAGGGUAGUUUUUCCAUCGCAUAAGGCAUCAAAUGGCAUAUCUAAUGAUGUGGAUUUAGCGUCACAAAUUACAGAAGGAUUUAUUUGUUUAAUAUUUUUGUUUUUGCUUUUUUACCAGUUUGGCAUAAUACUACUUGAGUUUAAGAAUCUAAGGUUGGUCAGGAUUUGUGGUACUUUUAGGGUUUGAAUAGGUUUAAAGACACAGUGUAAAACCAGAGUGGUACUCAUUGGUUUUAAGAGAGGGUUUUGUUAUCACUAGAGUCAUCGAGAGAGGGGCAAAAAGGAUAAAGAUGAAGACCAAAUCAAGGACAGAGGUUGACAGCGUGUAUGGGGAGACAACCAAGAUCAGCUUAACCAUCCAAGUUCUAGAAAUUGCACCUUUCACUUUUCUACAUAUUGUGGUUUUCUCUUCCAGUGCUUUAUGCAGUGCAGUUCUGCUGGUUCAGUGAGAACUUGAACAUGUGAUAUGUGCCUAAGCUUCGUUAAACUAUAUAUGUCAUCAUGGACAUCAGGUUGCAUUUCACUUGUUCAGAGGAGUGUUUGCAACUACUAAAGCUCAUCGCGUUUUGGUGGCAGGUCCUUGU